RNAcentral lists this ribosomal RNA (294 nucleotides) under Salmonella enterica. RNAcentral describes it as "partial 16S ribosomal RNA". It matches the Rfam family "Bacterial small subunit ribosomal RNA", at positions 809 to 1102 of the family's 1533-position model. The record is from RNAcentral. Lineage: Bacteria; Pseudomonadati; Pseudomonadota; Gammaproteobacteria; Enterobacterales; Enterobacteriaceae.
AUGUCUACUUGGAGGUUGUGCCCUUGAGGCGUGGCUUCCGGAGCUAACGCGUUAAGUAGACCGCCUGGGGAGUACGGCCGCAAGGUUAAAACUCAAAUGAAUUGACGGGGGCCCGCACAAGCGGUGGAGCAUGUGGUUUAAUUCGAUGCAACGCGAAGAACCUUACCUGGUCUUGACAUCCACAGAAGAAUCCAGAGAUGGAUUUGUGCCUUCGGGAACUGUGAGACAGGUGCUGCAUGGCUGUCGUCAGCUCGUGUUGUGAAAUGUUGGGUUAAGUCCCGCAACGAGCGCAAC